UUCCGUAGGUGAACCUGCGGAAGGAUCAUUACAGAGUUCAUGCCCUCACGGGUAGAUCUCCCACCCUUGAAUACUAUACCUUUGUUGCUUUGGCGGGCCGCUUCGGCUACUGGCUCCGGCUGGUGAGUGCCCGCCAAAGGAUCCCAAAACUCUGAAUAUUUGUGUCGUCUGAGUACUAUAUAAUAGUUAAAACUUUCAACAACGGAUCUCUUGGUUCUGGCAUCGAUGAAGAACGCAGCGAAAUGCGAUAAGUAAUGUGAAUUGCAGAAUUCAGUGAAUCAUCGAAUCUUUGAACGCACAUUGCGCCCCUUGGUAUUCCGAGGGGCAUGCCCGUUCGAGCGUCAUUAUAACCCCUCAAGCCCAGCUUGGUGUUGGGGCCUGCUGUUACCGGCAGCCCUUAAAAUCAGUGGCGGUGCCAUCUGGCUCUAAGCGUAGUAAUACUUCUCGCUACAGGGUCCUGGUGGAUGCUUGCCAUCAACCCCUAAAUUUCU
RNAcentral lists this ribosomal RNA (491 nucleotides) under Leotiomycetes sp. genotype 152. Its description in RNAcentral is "eukaryotic LSU rRNA". The stretch from base 191 to 344 matches the Rfam family "5.8S ribosomal RNA". The record is from RNAcentral. Lineage: Eukaryota; Fungi; Ascomycota; Leotiomycetes.